AACCCGACUCCAUGAAGCUGGAUUCGCUAGUAAUCGCGCAUCAGCCACGGCGCGGUGAAUACGUUCCCGGGCCUUGUACACACCGCCCGUCAAGCCAUGGGAGCCGGGAGUGCCUGAAGUACGUGACCGCAAGGAGCGUCCUAGGGUAAGACCGGUGACUGGGGCUAAGUCGUAACAAGGUAUC
This 184-nucleotide ribosomal RNA is filed under the name uncultured bacterium. RNAcentral describes it as "partial 16S ribosomal RNA". It matches the Rfam family "Bacterial small subunit ribosomal RNA", at positions 1309 to 1500 of the family's 1533-position model. The record is from RNAcentral.